RNAcentral lists this transfer RNA (71 nucleotides) under Marmota monax (woodchuck). Its description in RNAcentral is "tRNA.Ala". It matches the Rfam family "tRNA". From Rfam's summary of the family: Transfer RNA (tRNA) molecules are approximately 80 nucleotides in length. Lineage: Eukaryota; Metazoa; Chordata; Mammalia; Rodentia; Sciuridae. The record is from RNAcentral.
GGGGUUGUGGCUCAGUGGUAGAGCACUCACCUAGCACGUGCGAGGCUCUAGGUUCGACCCUUAGCACCACA